AUCCACGUGUGCUGUGAAUGCCUCCUCAUCUUUGCUGUGUGUUUCGAGAUGAUCAGCAGCAGAACGAGGGAGGAAGAAUGGGAAGAGGCAAGAGAGCAGUGCUGAGAAUGAGGAUUGGAAGCCUUUCCCGUGCUCAGGCGAGCCUGGCACAAUCCGUCGUGGCAAAUGGAGCUGGAUGCAACAGAACUCAGGCUUAAGCUUGGCUCAGAUCUUAGACCCAGCAGAGCCUCCUUAGAUCUGCAGGAGCUUUCUACAAACCUGACUGCUGAUGGGUGAAGAUACCACUCUGAGUGCCUCCAUCGCUGUGCAGCCUUUCACAUCCAGCUACUCACAUGGGAAAUUAGGGAGAGAAACCUGCCUGGAUGUAUGUGUGAGUGUGUAUAAUCCUUCAUCCCUCAGUAACAUCUGCAGGGGCUUCUGAGCAGAGCAGGCAGAGUUUGCUGUCACUGCUGGAAAAAGCUCAGACCUGCCCCUUUGCGCUGUUCUCUGUCUACAGAACAACUCCAAGGACUCCACUCCUUCCUUUCUAGCAAUUGCUUUCAGGGAUCCAGAUUUUAGUGGUUUGGAUAUUCUGAAAUGAAGCACUUUCUGGGUGAAUAAUACCAGCCAAACGCUCGCAGCUUGGCCUGGAGGAUGGGAAAAAUGCAGCCACCCAAAGCCAAGGCAGUUUCUCAAUGUCGAGGCUCAUUCGGUGCUUCUUAACGUUAGUGCCUGGUGCUGGAAUCUGCCCACGCAGGCUGGAGGCUGAGGCAAUAGUAUGUGAACACAUCUGCUCCAAGAGAUACUGUCAGACUUGGGGAGCAUCUUGUGGUAAUUAGGGGAAUUCAUUCCCUUACUCAGUCCAGCAGUUUUCUCUUGAUUGCUUCUUUCUGGUUUGUGGCAUCCUUGAAAAUUGUAUUAUCUGCAUUAUUUCUCCUCAGCCACUGGCAGCUCCCAGGCAAUGUUAAGAGCCUGUGUUCACACAGCACGUUCUUCCCUGUUGCA
Molecule: long non-coding RNA, 984 nt
Organism: Strigops habroptila (Kakapo)
Lineage: Eukaryota; Metazoa; Chordata; Aves; Psittaciformes; Psittacidae
Exons: 3
Source: RefSeq, a predicted model, not a curated record